UAUACAUAUCAAAUUCAUCAUGAUUGAAUUAAUAUAGGCCUAGGAAGCCCCGUGAGUUUCUCUCGGAGGUUCUGUCAAAUUUUCUUACAUUGUUGGUCCGCCCAACAAAGUCCAGUGUGCUCGCUGAGCGAAGCCAAUGAAAAUGCCUCAAAGUCUCCCCUUCACCCUUAUCGGACCGAGUCUCCCGAUCUCAAUGUGUGACAGUAUCCCCUAGGUAGGAGGACCGAGACCGGGUUCACAUUUCAAACCCGUAAAGAAAAGAACCAUCAGGGGAAUGCGCCUGGCGUCGAUCAGACGAACCGCUCAGCUCAGAGAUGACGGAACCCGAGGAUCUUCGGACUACGUUUUUGAUAGACAAGACAAUAGCCUACAUCUGGCGACAGUGAGGAAGAACAAGCCUCAACUUUCCCCUGCACUGGUUUCGACCAGAGGGAGAAAUGCACUCUCAUCCAAAUUUGCUUUCACUGACACAGUCUUGUGUCAUAUUUGCCCAAGAAAAAUAAGAAUGUCAUCCUGAUGAGCACUCGACACAAAUACGCCACUGUCAGCAAAGCAGAGCACAGGAAGCCCCAGCUCAUCCUGGACUACAACAGAAACAAAGGAGGCGUUGACUGCCUUGAUAAGCUUACUGGUACAUACACCUGCAAGUGAAUGACAGCUCGUUGGCCUGUGGCAGUGUUCCACAACAUCCUUGAUGUGUCUGCAUGUAAUGCAUAUGUGGUGUGGACAGCGAUCGACCCAGCCUGGAAUCAGGGGAAAUGUUUCAAGGGGAGACUCUUCCUGGCAGAGCUUGGGAAAGCUUUAGUGACUCCUAUAAUUCAACGGCGCCAGCACCUUCCCCGCACACCAGCCUAUGGCAGUCUGGUGAGGAGUCUGCAAGCCCCAGCCACUGCCCUGGCCGCUCGCCCCCCAAAACAGGGGCAGAAACGGAAGAGACGCAAGCUCUGUGCCCCCAGAGACAAUAAGACAAGUCUUACAUGUUUCAAAUGUGAUGCAAACGUUUGCAAGGCACACUGCGACCUGAUUGCAAAAUGCCACUCCUGUGUUUGAACACACACACACACACACACACACACACACACACACACACACACACACACACACACACACACACACACACACACACACACACACACACACACACACACACACACACACAGUGUUCAUGUUGAUGUUCUGUGAAUUUGGUCUGUUUUGAUUUUUCUGUCUUUUCUUUUUUUUACAAUAAAUGUUAAUUUUGGAAUACAACUUUCAAUUUCUGUGACUAUUCACUGCAGUAAUUCAUGUAAACCAGUAGUCUGAGACAUUGUUUACAGGUUAAAAGGGAGUUCAAUAAAAUUAGGUAAUGAUCA
Molecule: long non-coding RNA, 1352 nt
Organism: Gadus macrocephalus (Pacific cod)
Lineage: Eukaryota; Metazoa; Chordata; Actinopteri; Gadiformes; Gadidae
Exons: 2
Source: RefSeq, a predicted model, not a curated record